UGGACAGAUUAUUGUAUUCGAUUGUAUUCACGACGUGAAAUAGGGGAUUACACUGUUUUAAACAGAAAGUGAAUCAAUUAACAUAAUCGACUCCU
RNAcentral lists this microRNA precursor (95 nucleotides) under Nicotiana sylvestris (wood tobacco). Its description in RNAcentral is "MIR6152 microRNA precursor family". It matches the Rfam family "MIR6152 microRNA precursor family". Lineage: Eukaryota; Viridiplantae; Streptophyta; Magnoliopsida; Solanales; Solanaceae. RNAcentral also lists the same sequence under 1 other name. The record is from Rfam by way of RNAcentral.